This 263-nucleotide ribosomal RNA is filed under the name uncultured bacterium. RNAcentral describes it as "partial 16S ribosomal RNA". It matches the Rfam family "Bacterial small subunit ribosomal RNA", at positions 334 to 614 of the family's 1533-position model. The record is from RNAcentral.
UUCACCUACGGGGCGCAGCAGUGGGGAAUAUUGCACAAUGGGGGAAACCCUGAUGCAGCGACGCCGCGUGAGUGAAGAAGUAUUUCGGUAUGUAAAGCUCUAUCAGCAGGGAAGAUAAUGACGGUACCUGACUAAGAAGCUCCGGCUAAAUACGUGCCAGCAGCCGCGGUAAUACGUAUGGAGCAAGCGUUAUCCGGAUUUACUGGGUGUACAGGGAGCGCAGACGGCAAGGCAAGUCUGAUGUGAACGUCCGAUGCUCAACC